ACGCUCGACACCUACGGGAGGUAGCAGUGGGGAAUAUUGCACAAUGGGGGAAACCCUGAUGCAGCGACGCCGCGUGGAGGAAGAAGGUCUUCGGAUUGUAAACUCCUGUUGUUGGGGAAAAAGAGGAUGGUACCCAACAAGGAAGUGACGGCUAACUACGUGCCAGCAGCCGGCGGUAAUCUGAGGCGGGCUGGCAAGGC
RNAcentral lists this ribosomal RNA (200 nucleotides) under uncultured bacterium. Its description in RNAcentral is "partial 16S ribosomal RNA". It matches the Rfam family "Bacterial small subunit ribosomal RNA", at positions 328 to 539 of the family's 1533-position model. The record is from RNAcentral.